GCCUUCGUUUCCGAUUUGUGGUUACAGAAAAAGAACUCUCGGUUGGUCGGAGUCGCGCGCGCGCGCACACCACCGCAGCCCCGAUCUCGUCGUCGCUACCGCCGCAGGCACCGGAAGAGGGGGCGUACGUCCGCCGAGGGGACGUUGGGGGAGAGGCGGAGGUGGCCGCGUGACAGAGAGCAGGCGGACCGCCCUACGAGGUCCGCGGAGGCGGCGCGGACACGGUGCCGCCUCGGCAGGCUGCACGACGGCCCUAGGCCCCGGCCGCUCGACCUGCCCGACCACGGCCGUCCCGACGAGCUCCUCGACGGCCUCCCGGAGCGGAAGGUCCCGCGGGGACUGCCGUCGCCUCCGGUGGGCUACGAGCUGGCGCCGUAGUUGCGCCGGUAGCACGAGCCGCGGUAGUGGAAGCGCGAGUGGUUCGAGGAGUGGCAGCUGGUGCUGAUGACCGUACCCACCUGUUAGAACCUCUAGGACGCCAUGUACGGUGUCGUGUUGACCAGCCGCAUGCUCCUCCGGGAGUUCCGGUUGGGCCAAGAACAGUUCUACUACUAGUCACCGUAGCAGAUAAGGGAGCCGCUGACCUAUCGGGUCACAAUGCUUCCCUUCGGGUAGAAGCUCAAACUGGCACGAGCGUACAAGGCCAGACCGGAGUAUCCCAAGCGGGAAGUCCCUAGGGAAAGCGUGAUGAUGAUGUUAAAGACGCUCAGCCACAAAGGCACGUUCCUAACCACCCGACAUGGACAGUUCCGACGUAAACUAGUCUGUCGAACCAGACCCGACACCUUGUGGUAGAUGAAGCAGCGGAACCCUAAGGAAGCCACCCUUAGAGGCAGGUGGUAUAAGUCGCUCGAGUUCAGGUGGAAGAAGGGGUACGAAUGACGUCCUACCUUCGACACCGGUAAACGUGUGAAUUAAUGUAUACCACACCAAGGACAGCUUGUAUCUGAAGAGACCCAGCUGACACAGCUCUAUUAGACCCAGUGGUAGAACAGUUGAAUGAGUUUGCUCUUUAGACUUCGUUCCUAGAAUCUGCUAAGGAGGUGUUGUCUAUGCGCCCUGUUGAGGUCUAUCGUGCAUGAAGUACAAAACAACAAAAUAUGAGGGAGACAGGCUUUUAUAUUCUUACAAAAAUUGUGAUGUGAUCACAUUUUUUGCAAGAAUAUAAUACCUUGCCUCCCUCAUCUAACCUUGUUGUCUUUGACGAGGCCGAACGAAACUCUAACAUAUUCAACAUACAUGUCAAUCAAUGGUCACGACGCACACAUUUUUUUUGGAACGUAGAUAACGUUUGUUUAACACGACCGGUUUGUUUUGUCUUUUAUUUACCAGAGUUCCCUCUAGUUGACUACUUUUAAACUCAACA
Molecule: ribosomal RNA, 1366 nt
Filed under: Triticum aestivum (bread wheat)
Lineage: Eukaryota; Viridiplantae; Streptophyta; Magnoliopsida; Poales; Poaceae
Description: partial small subunit ribosomal RNA
Source: RNAcentral